CACGUAGGGCGCAAGCGUUGUCCGGAAUUAUUGGGCGUAAAGAGCUCGUAGGCGGUCUGUUGCGUCCGCUGUGAAAACUCGGGGCUUAACCCCGAGCCUGCAGUGGAUACGGGCAGACUAGAGGUAGGUAGGGGAGAAUGGAAUUCCCGGUGUAGCGGUGAAAUGCGCAGAUAUCGUAAGGAAGACCAGUGGCGAAGGCGGGUCUCUGGACAGUUCCUGACGCUGAGGCACGAAGGCCAGGGGAGCAAACGGG
RNAcentral lists this ribosomal RNA (253 nucleotides) under uncultured bacterium. Its description in RNAcentral is "partial 16S ribosomal RNA". It matches the Rfam family "Bacterial small subunit ribosomal RNA", at positions 524 to 776 of the family's 1533-position model. The record is from RNAcentral.